RNAcentral lists this ribosomal RNA (253 nucleotides) under uncultured bacterium. Its description in RNAcentral is "partial 16S ribosomal RNA". It matches the Rfam family "Bacterial small subunit ribosomal RNA", at positions 524 to 776 of the family's 1533-position model. The record is from RNAcentral.
UACGGAGGGGGCGAGCGUUGUUCGGAAUUACUGGGCGUAAAGCGCGCGUAGGCGGUCAUGUAAGUCAGAUGUGAAAUCCCUCGGCUCAACUGAGGAACUGCGUCUGAUACUGCAUGGCUUGAGUCCGGUAGGGGAUGGCAGAAUUCCCGGUGUAGCGGUGGAAUGCGUAGAUAUCGGGAGGAAUACCGAUGGCGAAGGCGGCCAUCUGGGCCGGCACUGACGCUGAUGCGCGAGAGCUAGGGGAGCAAACAGG